Long non-coding RNA from Mustela erminea (ermine), 980 nucleotides. RefSeq lists it as uncharacterized. The transcript is spliced from 2 exons. Lineage: Eukaryota; Metazoa; Chordata; Mammalia; Carnivora; Mustelidae. The record is from RefSeq and is a predicted model, not a curated record.
AGGCUUGACAACUGAGCCACCCAAGCACCCCAGAUAAUGUAUUUUAAAUCUAUCAUCCAUCCAUCCAUCUUAUCUACCCACUUAACCAUCUGUCCAUCUAGCUAUCAAUCACAGGUUACCCUGUAAAGUUUGGCAGGAAUUAUCUUCUAUUUAGUCAUAUUUAUAUAUGUGCUGAAGUGACUCAAACUGUAAUUGGAGGACGAGCAAACACCUGUCAUGCUGAAGGUUACAAAACUGAAUAUGCAGGAAUGAUUCGCUUACUCCUGAGACUGGCCUAUUCCCAGUUCAGUGGACUUUGAAGAGUAGAUACAAUGCUUUUCUUUUCCGAGAGCAGCAAGUUAGCCCCCCGGAACCAGCAUGUCAUUAGAGCGUCAGUGAUGGAUUUGACUUUAACGUAUUUUCCCAGAAAGCUGUACUUUCUACAAAAUCUGUUAAAAUUUCUGAUUGUUGGGUUCAGCGAGGAAAAACCCUGCUGCUAAAGCCCUCCUCCGACGAGCCCGUAUUUGCGGUUAGAAUGUUCUUUCAGACUCAGGAAUGUCUGUAUGUUCAAGCAGGGUUGCCAUGGUGCUGUGGGACAUGAGGUGGCAAACCCCACACCAGAGUUAGAGAUGCGUAGUGCUCGGGGUACAGAUUACGGGAAGUACAACUCGCCAGAAGUCCCAGGCGAGAGGCUGAGCGGAAUGUCUUAAUCCGAAGAGGAAGAGCUCCACUCCAAGCUUAUCCUUUGAACUCCCGUUGAAGACCCCAAAGGCAAAACAUCCUGAACUACCCCCUCAAGCAAUAACAACCACCAUGAGCUAGCAAGACCCCAUAGGAUUGACCCCAAGAUGACGAUCAGCCUGACCUUUACUGCAUUACCCAUUGGCCUUUGUCCCAUAUUUUCUUUAAAUAACUUUCAGCACUUUGGAGACCAUCUUUGAGAUGUUAAUCCACUGUCUUCCUGCAGUGGCCUCACAGGAAUAAACUUCUUUCUGGUUUCA